Molecule: ribosomal RNA, 301 nt
Filed under: uncultured bacterium
Lineage: Bacteria
Description: partial 16S ribosomal RNA
Rfam family: Bacterial small subunit ribosomal RNA
Source: RNAcentral
CAGUAGCCGCGGUAAUACGUAGGGUGCGAGCGUUAAUCGGAAUUACUGGGCGUAAAGCGUGCGCAGGCGGUUCGUUAAGACAGAUGUGAAAUCCCCGGGCUUAACCUGGGAACUGCAUUUGUGACUGACGGGCUAGAGUAUGGCAGAGGGGGGUAGAAUUCCACGUGUAGCAGUGAAAUGCGUAGAGAUGUGGAGGAAUACCGAUGGCGAAGGCAGCCCCCUGGGCCAAUACUGACGCUCAUGCACGAAAGCGUGGGGAGCAAACAGGAUUAGAUACCCCUGUAGUUCCUGUCUCUUAUAC